GACGAACGCUGGCGGUGUGCUUAACACAUGCAAGUCGAACGGUAAGGCCCUUUCGGGGGUACGCGAGUGGCGAACGGGUGAGUAACACGUGAGUAACCUGCCCUCAUCUCUGGGAUAACAGUCGGAAACGGUUGCUAAUACUGGAUAUGAGCUUGCAAGGCAUCUUGUGGGUUGGAAAGAUUUUUUUUGGUUGGGGAUGGGCUCGCGGCCUAUCAGCUUGUUGGUGAGGUAGUGGCUCACCAAGGCUUCGACGGGUAGCCGGCCUGAGAGGGCGACCGGCCACAUUGGGACUGAGAUACGGCCCAAACUCCUACGGGAGGCAGCAGGGGGGAAUAUUGCACAAUGGACGGAAGUCUGAUGCAGCAACGCCGCGUGCGGGAUGACGGCCUUCGGGUUGUAAACCGCUUUCAAUUGUGACGAAGCUUUUUUGUGACGGUAGCAGUAGAAGAAGCACCGGCUAACUACGUG
This 468-nucleotide ribosomal RNA is filed under the name uncultured bacterium. Its description in RNAcentral is "partial 16S ribosomal RNA". It matches the Rfam family "Bacterial small subunit ribosomal RNA", at positions 28 to 507 of the family's 1533-position model. The record is from RNAcentral.